RNAcentral lists this ribosomal RNA (312 nucleotides) under uncultured Pseudomonas sp. Its description in RNAcentral is "bacterial SSU rRNA". It matches the Rfam family "Bacterial small subunit ribosomal RNA", at positions 1072 to 1382 of the family's 1533-position model. The record is from RNAcentral. Lineage: Bacteria; Pseudomonadati; Pseudomonadota; Gammaproteobacteria; Pseudomonadales; Pseudomonadaceae.
AUGUUGGGUUAAGUCCCGUAACGAGCGCAACCCUUGUCCUUAGUUACCAGCACGUUAAGUGGGCACUCUAAGGAGACUGCCGGUGACAAACCGGAGGAAAGUGGGGAUGACGUCAAGUCAUCAUGGCCCUUACGGCCUGGGCUACACACGUGCUACAAUGGUCGGUACAAAGGGUUGCCAAGCCGCGAGGUGGAGCUAAUCCCAUAAAACCGAUCGUAGUCCGGAUCGCAGUCUGCAACUCGACUGCGUGAAGUCGGAAUCGCUAGUAAUCGUGAAUCAGAAUGUCCACGGUCGAAUACGUUCCCGGGCCUU